UACGGAGGGUGCAAGCGUUAUCCGGAAUCACUGGGUUUAAAGGGUGCGUAGGCGGCUUUUUAAGUCAGUGGUGAAAUUCUACCGCUUAACGGUAGGGGGUCCAUUGAUACUGAGAAGCUUGAAAAGGGUUGAGGUAGGCAGAAUGUGGCAUGUAGCGGUGAAAUGCUUAGAUAUGCCAUAGAACACCGAUUGCGAAGGCAGCUUACUGGACCGAUUUUGACGCUGAGGCACGAAAGCGUGGGGAGCGAACAGGAUUAGAUACCCUGGUAGUCCACGCCCUAAACGAUGUUUACUCGUUGUGCGGGAGCAAUUUUGCGCAACCAAGCGAAAGCGAUAAGUAAACCACCUGGGGAGUACGCUCGCAAGAGUGAA
Molecule: ribosomal RNA, 372 nt
Filed under: uncultured bacterium
Lineage: Bacteria
Description: bacterial SSU rRNA
Rfam family: Bacterial small subunit ribosomal RNA
Source: RNAcentral